GAGGCCGUAGCUCAGCGGCAGAGCGGCUGCUUGUUAAGCAGAUGCGCGCAGGUUCGAUCCCUGCCGGCCUCG
This 72-nucleotide transfer RNA is filed under the name Myxococcales bacterium. RNAcentral describes it as "tRNA-Asn". It matches the Rfam family "tRNA". Rfam says of the family: Transfer RNA (tRNA) molecules are approximately 80 nucleotides in length. Their secondary structure includes four short double-helical elements and three loops (D, anti-codon, and T loops). Lineage: Bacteria; Pseudomonadati; Myxococcota; Myxococcia; Myxococcales. The record is from RNAcentral. RNAcentral also lists the same sequence under 1 other name.